Molecule: long non-coding RNA, 2642 nt
Filed under: Homo sapiens (human)
Lineage: Eukaryota; Metazoa; Chordata; Mammalia; Primates; Hominidae
Description: non-protein coding lnc-ING1-4:2
Source: RNAcentral
GUAGAGUGGCCAAGCAGCGGUCUGAGCGGGUCCCGGGGCCUCCGGCGCGGUGGGUCUCGGCUGCGCCCCGGGUGCGGACCAUGAUGUUUCCAGCCUGGGAGCCGGUCCGGGCGGGGAAUCCCGGCUGCCGGGGGCGCGGGUUGAGGCUCUGCGGGCCCGCGCCCAGAGCGGGUGGGAGUCACGGGUCUCCCGGAGGCCCAGUAGCGCGCGGUGAAGUUGUCCAGUAAAAAUUUAUGGAGCGCCUACGGGGAGCAGGGAUUCUCGUUAAAAUCUGGGAAUCAGCAAGCCCUAGUUCCUUACAGAGCAGGACAGAUUCCUCGGUUUUGUCCGAGGGACGCCUUCUUCGGAACCGAGUGCGGUGGGCUAGGACUAUACGUUUGCAAGUUUAAGAGAUAAGCGAGAAGACCAGACAGAGCAAACAAUAAAAGGCUUUUUGUUGAGAACUGUAUAAAUGUAAGGGAGUACCAAAUCCCCUAUUUUGAAUGACAGUAUCACGGACUUUAUUACAUAUGUAAUUUUAUUCUGAUUAUGAAAGCAUCAGUAAUUUCACUAUUGAGGAAUAACCACAAUGUUUAUGAAUAUUUCCUUUGCUUCUAAAUAUGCGGUCUUUUUAAAUCAUGUAUUUUAUUUCAUUUGUAUAUAUAGUUUUUCGCUGUGUAAACUUCCUUUUUGCAAAAUUCUACGUCACAAAUUGAACAAGGCAAUUAGAUGUCUAGGGAAGUACUGAUGCACGAGAAAGCAUAUUGCAGCAUUGGUUAAUAAAACGAAAAAAUAGAAACCUAAGAUUUAACAAAGGGAAGUUGUUAACUAGUGGUGUAAACACUCAACACAGACAUGUCUUCAUACAGCAAACAUUUGUUGAGUACAAUGCUGAAUGAAACACAUUGAGAAACACUCUAUAGUGGGGAAGUAGCAAAUAUUUCAAUUCAGUGAGCAAUUGCUAAUGAAUGGAAAAUAUGACACAUAGAAUCUAUCUUCUCCCAGGGAGUUUGUAAUCUGUUAGUGAAGCAGGAAAGAAUAAUCAAGCAAUACUUUUUUGUUUGGACCAAAAGGGUGAGAAUAGACUAUAAACUCAUUUCAGGUUUUGUUUACUCUAGAACGUAAUCAUUUUUCUUCUCACAUGCCAUGUUGAUUUUAAUCUAAUCUCUUUAAAAUAUAUCCCCCUGAUUUCCAUCUUUCUUAGGAGAGAGGUGUCCCAUUUUGCGAAAGGACGUGAGUGUAUCUUGUCCUCCAUGUAAUGAAAGGGAGGGAUUACUUGCUAGGCUGCAUUCUGGGAAUGGUGAAACAGAGAUGGUGGUAAGUCAAGGAAUUUGUCCAAGGGCAAACUGCAUGCCUGUGGCAGAGCUUAGAAUAAUAUCCAGACCUAGGUUCCAACCCACUGUUAGAUUUUUUUUAACUUUGGAAUUUAUUUUGCAUAGAGUAUUAAGGGCUAGGAAGAUAAAAUAGGUUAUAGUGAUAGGGUACUUCGUGUACGUCUUUCCUCACUUCAGAUGACUGGGUUUUUUAAAGGAUUAUUUAGACUAUAUACAUAUUUAUUUAGCUGUACAGGAGUAGACUGACAUAUAUACGUGGUGAUGGAUCCCCAAGACAGAUCCUGUAACUGUGGCAGGAGGAUUGUGGAUAGGAUGGUGUCUACUGACUAUUCCCAAUGCCAGUGAUCUAAUUGGUUGGUCACCCAGAUUUUGCUCAACUCUGAUAAUUGUCAGAUGCAUUCCAACUAGAACUACUCCAUCUUAAAUGGGGCUGGGUAAGAUGAGGCUGAGACCUAUUGGGCUGCAUUCCCAGAUAGUUAAGGCAUUCUAAGUCACAGGAUGAGAUAGGAGGUCAGCACAAGAUACAGGUCAUGAAGACCUUGCUGAUAAACAGGUUGCAGUAAAGAAGCCAGCUAAAACCCACCAAAACCAAGAUGGUGACGAGAGUGACCUCUGGUCAUCCUCACUGCUACACUCCCACCAGCGCCAUGACAGUUUAUAAAUGCCAUGGCAACAUCAGGAAGUUACCCUAUGUGGUCUAAAAAUGGUAGACAUGAAUAAUCCACCCCUUGUUUAGCAUAUAAUCAAGAAAUAACCAUAAAAAUGGGCAACCAGCAGCCCUCGGGGCUGCUCUGCCUAAGGAGUAGCCAUUGUUUUAUUCCUUUACUUUCCUAAUAAACUUGCUUUCACUUUACUCUGUGGCCUCACCCUCAAUUCUUUCUUGAGUGAGAUCCAAGAACCCUGCCUCUCCUGUGGUCUGGAUUGGGACCCCUUUCCUGUAACAAUCAUUACCAAUCUCAGAUUUCCUUUGAGACUCUCAUUUUUUAAAAGCUCCAAAGAGAAGAAGAGUAGAUUCAUAACAUCUUUUUCAUCUGAUGAAGCAACCAUACACAAGCCAACUUAGGCAUUUGAAGAUACAAUCCAAAUCCAUGAAAGAAAACAGGAAAACUCAAAACUUAACAUAUUAAGAUUGCCUUUAGACUGGAAUUUUUUUUUUUUUCAAAAAAGGAUUGCAUUGUAUGAGAAAUUGUGGAAGUGGGGUAGGGCUCAGUUGUGUGAAUGGCACAGUGAUUCAGUGUCCAUACGUGUGACAGACAUUGAUGGGCAUCUCUUGAGUGUCGUUAUUACACCAGGAGCAGUGCGCCCUGAGGGACGUGGGGUUGGAGAGCA